UACAGAGGGUGCGAGCGUUGUUCGGAAUUACUGGGCGUAAAGCGCGCGCAGGCGGCCUUUUAAGUCUACCCGUGAAAUGCCGGAGCUCAACUCCGUGCACGCCGGGGGAUACUGGGAGGCUGGAGACAGGUAGAGGCAAGCGGAAUUCCGGGUGUAGCGGUGGAAUGCGUAGAUAUCCGGAAGAACACCUGAGGCGAAGGCGGCUUGCUGGGCCUGAUCUGACGCUGAGGCGCGAAAGCUAGGGGAGCAAACGGG
This 255-nucleotide ribosomal RNA is filed under the name uncultured bacterium. Its description in RNAcentral is "partial 16S ribosomal RNA". It matches the Rfam family "Bacterial small subunit ribosomal RNA", at positions 524 to 776 of the family's 1533-position model. The record is from RNAcentral.